Molecule: ribosomal RNA, 245 nt
Filed under: uncultured bacterium
Lineage: Bacteria
Description: partial 16S ribosomal RNA
Rfam family: Bacterial small subunit ribosomal RNA
Source: RNAcentral
AUGGCGACCGGCGCACGGGUGAGUAACGCGUAUGCAACCUGCCCGAUACCGGGGUAUAGCCCAUGGAAACGUGGAUUAACACCCCAUAGUACUUUUAUCCUGCCUGGGAUGUGAGUUAAAUGUUCAAGGUAUCGGAUGGGCAUGCGUCCUAUUAGUUAGUUGGCGGGGUAACAGCCCACCAAGACGAUGAUAGGUAGGGGUUCUGAGAGGAAGGUCCCCCACGUUGGAACUGAGACACGGUCCAA